This 1503-nucleotide long non-coding RNA is filed under the name Lepidothrix coronata (blue-crowned manakin). RNAcentral describes it as "lncRNA (ENSLCOG00000003260.1)". The record is from RNAcentral. Lineage: Eukaryota; Metazoa; Chordata; Aves; Passeriformes; Pipridae.
AAGACCCCCCCAGCCCCCCCAAAAAAGGGGCUUUUCACGGAUGACCUGCACAGGCUGGUGGACGAGUGGGUGCAGGACACGGCCCGGGCACAGGGAACCUCGUCGUGGGUCUCGACCCUUCGCGGCACCCGCGGGACCCCCCAAAAAUGGGGGGAGCUGCCCCCCCCCAAACCCAACCUCCCUCCGGGGGCUGAGUGAGGGGGAGCCCCAAAAACCACUGUUCCCCCCCCCCAGAUCCCCCAUUCCACCCCAAAUCCCCUGAUUUUGGGUCGUGUCCCCCCCCCACGGGCUCACCCCAAUAUUUGGCCCCUGAGUGACUUUGUUUCACCCCCUAAGCCCCUUGGUUUGACCCCCUGGAGGGUGACCCCAAAUUUCCAGCCCCAAAAUCACCUCAUUACACCCCAAAACUCCCGUUUUUGGGGCCCAACUCCCUCCCAUGGCGUGACCUUACCUUUGGCCCAAAAUUGCCUUAUUUUGCCCCCAAAAUCCUCCUUUUUUGCUCCCUCCAGGUUGAAUCCCCUUUUUUGGCCCCAAAUCACUGUAUUUUACCCCAUUUUUUAGGUCACUCCCCCUUUUCACCCUCCUCCCCAGGUGACCCCACUUUCUGAUGCCCAAAAUCCCCUCAUUUCACCUCAAAACCCCCCUUUUUUGGGCAUUCCCCCCUCUGCAUGAGGUGACCCCAAUUUUUAGCCCCCAAAUCACCUCGUUUCAGCCACAAACUCCCUUUUUUUGUGGCCUUUUCCACCAUCCCCUGAUGUGACCCCACUUUUCACCCCCAAAAUCUCGUCAUUUCACCCCAACCCCCCCUUUUUUGGGCCCAUUUCCCUUUUUUUACAUCUCCCCCAUGACACGAUGCCACUUUUUCCCCCCAAAAUUACAUUAUUUCACCUCAAACGUCCCCUUUCAGGGCCUUCCGUUCCACCCCCCCGAUGUGACCCCACUUUUCAGCCCCAAAAUCUCAUUUCACCCCAAACCCCCUUUUUUGGGUCUGUCCCUGUUUUUGUCCCCACCAUGAGUUGACCCCAAUUUUUAGCCCCCAAACGGCCUCAUUUCGCCCCAAAACACCAACAGUUGACCCCCAACCCUUCCCUCACCCCCUCAUUUGUCCCCAAAUCCGUCCGUUUGCCCCCAAAGACCCCCCAGAGGGCCCAGACUCCCAUUUUUCACCCCAAACCCCAUCACAGGCCUGGAAUCCCCCUUAACGCAGCCACAGGAGAGGGGAACUGGCCCUACUGGUUUUACUGGUGUGUUCCCCCCCACUGAUCGUGCUGGUGCCACCGCCCCUCCCCCACCCCUCCUCUCCCCCCACAGCCGAAUUUUGGGUCAUUUCUUGUGUUUUCCUCUCAUCCCUCUCCCCCCUUCGCCAGACAGUGAAAUCACGGGUGUUCCGCUUCGAGGGGGUGGGGAGGGCGUUUGACUGGGGACGAGGAAGUUGUUAUAAAUUGUUAUAAAGUGUGAAAAAAAAAACCUUAAAAAUCGAGAAAUAAAACCCGCGCGCCACAC